This 272-nucleotide unclassified non-coding RNA is filed under the name Hevea brasiliensis (rubber tree). The record is from RNAcentral. Lineage: Eukaryota; Viridiplantae; Streptophyta; Magnoliopsida; Malpighiales; Euphorbiaceae.
CCCAGUUGUUUCAUAAGCUUCUCUAGCUACCACCUUUUGCCAUUGCUGAUCAGUUGACCAGUAAUUUGAAAGAUGGAGUUUAGUAGAGUUAACAUGAGGGCCCGUUGCUCUGGUUCAACACCAUCAGAGGAAUCAGCUUUAGAUACUGAAAGAAACUGUUGCAGUCAUCCUAGCCUGCCUUCAUUAAGUCCCCGACCUCUUCAACCUUUUGCUUCUGGUGGACAGCACUGUGAGAGCAGUGCUGCUUAUUUCUCCUGGCCUAGCUGGCGGUU